This 90-nucleotide unclassified non-coding RNA is filed under the name Pseudomonas gessardii. Lineage: Bacteria; Pseudomonadati; Pseudomonadota; Gammaproteobacteria; Pseudomonadales; Pseudomonadaceae. The record is from RNAcentral.
UGUGGGAGCGGGCUUGCUCGCGAAAGCGGUAUGUCAGUUAACAACUAUGUCGACUGAUCCACCGCUUUCGCGAGCAAGCCCGCUCCCACA